Molecule: non-coding RNA, 45 nt
Organism: Schistosoma haematobium
Lineage: Eukaryota; Metazoa; Platyhelminthes; Trematoda; Strigeidida; Schistosomatidae
Source: Rfam
AUCCAGCUGACGAGUCCCGCUCAGGAUGAAACUUGAGUCCUAGAU